Dipodomys spectabilis (banner-tailed kangaroo rat) is the source of this 4743-nucleotide long non-coding RNA. RefSeq lists it as uncharacterized. The transcript is spliced from 2 exons. Lineage: Eukaryota; Metazoa; Chordata; Mammalia; Rodentia; Heteromyidae. The record is from RefSeq and is a predicted model, not a curated record.
CACACUUUCAUUUUCUUUAUUUUUCAUUGAUACCGUAUGAAUACAAAGUUUCUAGAAAGCUACAAAAUGUCUACCACUUUAUCAAGAAGGCAUCAAAAUGUGUCACUUUGCAAAGACAUGAAAACACCUGCAGGAAACUGACACAAAAAUAGCAUUUUUAGAGUGAUGAAAUAAUUGCACUUAACUGUCAUGGAUAUUAAAGUUAUCACACAUAUGUACCGCGAAAGCUAGAAUACAUUUGUUUUGUUUUUACAAAGCACUUUAUAAAAAAAUUCUCUGCACACAAACCCUAUAAUUUUCAUAUAACUAUCAUACUAAAGAUAAAUUCACUUUAAAGCCAACACUUAGAACAUUUUUUUAAACAAAAGGUACCAGUACCUAAACACAAACAUUAAUGAAUACAAUACUGUACUGCCCAGAGGUUUAACCAAAUGCCUUUCAAAAGUUUCUGCAAAUGGGUUAAGAAAUCGUGUGUGAAUCUGCCCACCCCUUGCUCAUUUCUCUAAUCUCCUUAAGAGGAACCCGUUACCCAGAGGUGAGUUCCCACCCGGUCCCAGCAGCAGUACAACAUUAAAGGAACCAGAUGAAACGCUACGCCACAAGCCCAUUAAGCACGCCACGAAGACAAGAGAAAACCAUUAAGUUCUUGAGAAUGUGGACAAAUAUAUGUGGCAAAAACCAACUCACAUAAAACUUGAACAAUAUUAAAGAAGUAAAGGCUAUUCAGGUUUUUAAAAUGUUACAAUUUUUUUGUUAUUUUUUUAGGCACGUACUAUUUUUGUUUUUGAUUUUUUCCUUGUCUGUAGUCAUAAGCCCAUUGAAAAAGGCCAAGAGAAGUCAAUAUUUCCAGGAGGUAACAGGGAGAUGUACAUGGGUCAUUUAAAGAAGUGUGGUUAUUAUUCAAUUUAUGCAGUGAAAUUAAUCACAGAAAAAUGAUUAAUGGGAACAAAAAACCCUAAGGGAUUAGUUUCCAAUUGGCUGACAGCUGGUUUCUGUCCGCCUCUCCUGGAAGGAGGGGAAACAGAAUAAGCUCAUUGGAAGGUCAUAAAAGUCAGCCUGAGCCAGAUGGAAUUCUAAUGGAAUCUGACCCAGUGUAGUGAUGAAUGAGAGAAGAAGGAAAUGUUGCUUCCAACAGUAAAAUGAUGUAUAUAUAGCGUGGCAUUCAGUGAUUCACUGCAAGUUCAGAGUAAAAUGAGCAAGGGCUUAGGAAGUACAACAAUAAAUAAAAUAUUCUAUAUGACUGAACAAGGCAUGGCUUCAGUGAAGCUACUGUUUGCAAUGCAGUAAAAUUUCAACAGAAAACCUUCAUUCUUAAUGACGAAAGCAAAGCACUAAUGAGAGAAAACCAGUGCCAAACAAGACAGGGACAACUGGAAAGAGAAGCAGGGACACAUGCAUGUGACUAAUUUCUUCCAAGUUGUGGGACCAUUCUGAUAGUGAAAAAUCAAAACUUCAAGCAGCUAACUAUAACAUAGGCUGAGUAAUUUUCCUUUUCAUUUGAUAGUGUAGUUUUCUUUUAACAGAACUCUUAUAAAUACAACAUGGGAGUGGAGGCAAGAAAUCACUCCUGAAAUUUCAGAGCCCAGAGAAGCUAUUCCUAAAGACACAGGUAAAGACUGAACACAGGUAGCUAUUCCUAAAGACACAGAUAAAGACUGAACACAUGUAAGUAAGUUUAGAGGUUAACUUUCAGAGUUGUUUGAUGUCAUUUUUACAUCUAUAUUAGCAAAGAAAAGUCGUUCCUGGCUUCUCUUUGGCUGGUGUUUGUGUGCCUCCUUGUCUGUUUACUCCUCCUCCCGACCACUAACAGUUUUCCCAGUUUAUACAAGUUUUGAUAUAAACUGGCACAUUAAGGAGUUGCCCUCCCCACCUGGCGGGGGGGAAGGGCUGGAAUAUUCUUUGAAAAUGCCAAAUUGCAGAUGGUGCUCUUUGGAAGUUUCUCAUGGCACAUUCACACACAACACUUCAAUUGUAAUGACCCUAACACAUUUUUGUUCUGCACUGUCAUCUCAGUUUGAGGCUUCCAACUUUCAAAAUGGUAUCACUGUGUAUAGCAGGUAAGUGCGCACUGUCAUUUGGAUGGAACAGAAAGUCUCCAGAGACGGAACAUGAACACAAGAAGGUGAAAGCUGUAGUAUCUGUCCACUGGCUGAGAUUCUGUUGUUGGUGUGGAAAUUCCUUCACACAGAUGCAGGCUGGGUGACGAGCUGACAUGACAUGCCGAGUCAUCGGCACACACAAACACAACAGUUUCCGGGGUUCCUCCUGUUGCGGUGUGCUAUUGGUGAGUGGUAGUGGGCCCCCACUGGAGGACAGGCUCACGGUAGGUGGGGGCCACACGGUGCUCUUGUGAACGGAGACCUGUGGUUGGUUACUCACCCCGGUAAACCAAAGGCAUUACGGUGAUCUCAAAAUAUUUUUGGUCUCUCUACAAAUUGUCAUCUUUAUGGCAGCACUUUUCUAAGCUGGAAUCUCAAACCAAAGGCACUUUCAUGCUAGGGUGCAGAAGGUUCACAAAUAACUAAGUAUUUGGUCAUGAAUUUAAAAGGCAACUAGAAAAGGACAAUUUGCUUUUCAGAGUAAACUACAAAGUUGCAACCUUUAGUUUUGGUAUAUAUACAUUUUGAGAGGGUGGUUAGUCAAAGAAUUGACUUGGGUUCAGUUUCUGAUUUUAGAUCAAGUCAACCAUUUCUUGUAGACUGGGUAAAAAUGGGCUUCAAAACACAAAUAUGACAACAAUUUUGCUUGUCUUGUUUCUGGGAUUGGGCCAAUUAGUGAAUGGACACCAAGAGCAGGUGUGCGAAAGGCUGGCGGCAUGACUAAGGCACUGCUACUGGAACACUUUGGCAGCUCUGAAUUGAAAACUCCCUACAGAAGUAACGGUAGUAAGAGAAUGCUUCCAGCUUACAAAAGGGCCCAUAGUUCCCAGGCAGCCUUCUGCACUGCUUACCCUACACGCAACAUCUCUAAGAUUUAAGGCUUUUCAGAAAUGACACGUGCAGGACUUUGCCACAGAAACAGCAACAUACAGAAAUCAGCAAUGCAGACAUCCACCUGAUGUCACAGGAGUGAACGCCAACAAACAGAAUUACUUCUACCCUUCCUUAGGACAGGUGUAGUGUACCAGAGCAUAUACAAAAGUAGACAAAUUAUAUGUACCUGGUUUGUAGAAUUAACCAACUGUUAUCUCAUACAAUGGCAAUAAUUUAUGGUUGUACAAAAACAAUGGCCAAAGCCACCACAGUAUUGAAAUCCAAUGAAGACUUGGGUCUAAAAGUUGUUUGGGGACUUUUAACACCAAGUGCUUGGAACAGAGGGGCUGUUUUUGGCUGGUCUGAGGGCAGGAUUUUGCUGCUCUGAUGCUCAACAAAUAGAAAUUUGAUUCAGAGCCUGUGGCAUAUGAAUUGUCUUAAGCAGAAGCAAAAAGGCUCAUCAGUUUUCCCAGUGCUAUGGAGGCCUCAGAUGGGCACUCCCUGGUGAGAAGUAGCAUCAGGGCGAUGCUGGGCUUCUACAUCAAGGAUUCUCAAGCCUCCUCCCCGAUCUUCUGCACCAACCCUGUCACACAUUCUUACAGAUCAUUGAACAUAGAGCACCGAAGAAGAAUGGCCUCGACCAGAAGAGGUCAAGGAUCAAAGAGGUGGGAGCCCUGGACAAGGGCUCACCCUUAUUUUGUCACUAGCCAGUUGGGUGACUGGGCAUGUCAUCGCAUGCUCCUCCAGCCUCAACCUUCUUGCUCACAAAAUGAAGGGGAAUUGACUGCAUUGUCUUUUGCAUCAAAAACAAAGAAUUCUAGAAGCUCUCUUCUGGAACAUAUCCCUUCCCACUGAUGAAAAAAAAUCCUCCAGAGGUCUCAGUAAGUUCUACAAACACCAUGGGUUGUAAGGCAAAAAAGUAGAUGCAGCCUAGAAGAACCCAAUUGAAACAAUUAAAGGUUUGGAUAAUGAGAUCCAUGGGCUUAUUUUUUUUAACCCCAAUAAACUAAGAGCUGAAGGUCAAGUCAGAAAUGUUCAGAAAUGCUCUGUGGAAGAAAACUUUCAAACUAGGAAGAAACAGGAUACAAAUAUCACUUCAUGAAUUCUCCUACCUGCCUCCUGAUACCCGAAAAGAAAAGGAAAGAAAAGAAAGGCUCCCAGGAGAGAAAGUUUUGGAAAGCAAAAUGAAAGGGAAACUGUCACCAAUAAGCUAAUGUGACCCAUAAGGUCAACUGGUGUGACUAUACCCCAUGAACCAUUUGGUACAUACAAGCACAUGAUGAGUUGUGAAAAAUGGGGUACAGGCCAGGGACACUAAUAAAUCUUUUACAAAGUGUAAGGCAACCCCAUACAAUAAAGAAUGUCACUAGUGUUGAGGCUGAAGAAACCUGGUCUCAGGUAACCUGUGUAUUACAAACUCGGGUGCAUUCUGAAAAAGCCUCAGUUGACAGAGGACUUCUUCCUACAAUGGAAACCAAGGCCAACAGCUCCUCCGUUCUUCAAUUCCUCCCUAGGAAAGCAGGCCUUCAAACUGAGGAGCAAAAGCCCAGGAUGGCCAUGAAAACUAUGGUACUGGCAGAGAGCACUGAGACUAGUGGGGUUGGGGCUUGGCAUAAGCUUCCUUAUGGUGAAGGAAGCUUUGAAGAUAAGAAGAGAAGGAAGAGGAUCAGAAAGGGACUGAGAUUAGAUGUGAGAACACAAAAUCCACACAAGGGUCUACUUUGAGAGACACAAAGAGAAAAGCAAGCCCAAGACCUGGGGUAACUGGACC